AAAAAAGUUACCAAAACCUAACAGGAAAAGGAAGGGUAGCAUCAAAUAUGGACUUUGGGGACGAAUACAUAUGUACAUUGUAACAUAGAGUUUGAUCAGACAAUCGCCAUCGAGAGGCACUUCAAUGGAGAAGGCAGAGCUCAUUGCGCGUUCUCAGCUUGAUGAAUCUUUACUCCCUAUAAGCUUCGAUAUCUUGUCCCCGUGCCCUUUCACAGUCACAGGUAUCGGUGUGUUUCGAUCCAAGAUACGAUAGGAUUACGCAUCCGGAUAUUAACCUAGAAAAGUCAAUUUAUGAGGACUUUUGUGUGCACAAACUUAAAUCCUCUGUGGGAAAAGUUCCUCACUCCAUCAGAAGAUCAUUAUUUUCUCCCGACCCUGAAGUAAAUUAUGUGCUGGUCAGAUGGAUCGUUUUAUUGAAGAUAUGGACUAUUGCAUAUUUCUUUUGUCUGAAUUUAAUGUAUUUUACCACCGGAUAAGGAGUCAUUCUUGGACUGCUUCUUAGCUUAUUUAUUUUCUAUUUAUUACAUAGAUACAUUUGAAGAUUCAUGGAUUUUCUUUCCUAUAGAUUACAUUCAUUGUUGUCAACACAUGUCAAGUCCGCUGGGUAAUGGAACAGUUGUGAAGACAUCUGACAAGAAGAUAGUUUGUUAAAAGGGUGUGAUAACGUUGGGGAAUUUCCUGGGCAGCUUUCUGACUAACUUGACUUCAGUACUUUUUGUACUCUGGCAUUAGUUUACACUUUCGCACUAUCAUUUUACUUUAUUAUUGAGUAUAGGGAACAUUUAGCUCUUGCUUUGUUUUUUUUGGCAGAGAAGUUGGAUUAGAAUUAUUGAUGCCAUUAUGUUUUUUCGGUGACCCACAGCCCGAAGCAGUUGGAAUAGCUUCUCAUUGGAGUGGUGAGGACCUGAGAAACUCUGAAACUAUUAACAAGCUUGUCUUUCAAGAGAUGUUUGACCACAUUGUCCGUGAGGCGAUUGAAGAAAUUGGAGCUCCCGCUGUAUCUCUUGUAACCUGUCAUGCUGAUGGCAAACAUUUCCAUGUGUUCAUGCUAAGAAAGGGGUUUCAAAAAAAUGAUUCAGGUAAAAAGGUCGCCUUUUCUGAGAGCUUGGUGGGAUCAAUACAAUGCAUAAAUGGAAGAGACAAAGGUAACACUUGAGUCUAUUAUCUUACCUCAUCAAUACCUUCUUUUACCCUUUUUGCAUCUUGCAAGCCUCGUAUUGAUAAUUUUCAUUCUUAUUUCUUUUCAUCUGUAUUAUCUUUUCGGGGGCUUGUGCUACACAUUAGUGUGAAAAAAGGAGUAAAAAAGUUUUAAAACGAGGGACUUCAUCUCAUGUCUUCUCUACUUCAUUAGUAAGCUCCUGAUAGAAAGCUAUAGUGAUAACGGCCAAAAGUAAUGAGCUGACAUGUCGCUUAGUAGCCAAAGGCAGGGACUAGCAGUAGUGCAGUACGUGUCUUAUUUACCUAGCAAGAAGAUUUGACACAGAGAAAUUUAGUGUGCAGGGGAUGUAUAGUCAGAAAUAGAAUAUCAAAACGAGCACGUGAGAUUCACCUUGAUUGCUGACUAUACAACGUAUGAAAAAUUCUGCCUUGCUGGUUUGGCCAAAACUUAUUGAGCUUAAUAUUGUAGUCUGGAAUGAAAUUCUGACUUGGUUAUGUGAUUCCUUGAUGUGAGUUCUUUGAAAUUCUGACUUGCUGCCUCAUAGUAAAACCUUGCCACUGGACGUAGUUUAGAAAAAUGUCUACAGGCCGAGUCUUAAAUGUCUUAAAGUGGGCACAGUCAAAUAUGUAUUUUUCGAACUGUAUUAAAAUUUGAAUAGCGGAGAGAAAAAUGCUUAACUUCCAUUAGUCAAAAGGUUUUGGUGGUUGGUAAAACCACAAGUUUAGCAUGGUAAGGAUCCUGAUACUUUCCCUCGGGGGUGCCAACCGGCCAUUAUCAAUCAUCAAAUUUGCUGUCCAAUGAGAUUACUUUGGAGGGGAGCCUUACUAUCACAAUCGUGUUUCAGGUUUUUAUAUUCUUAAAAGUCAGGGAAUUAUCACCAUGCAGUGGAUAUUAUAUUCUCCUGAAAUACCACAGUAUAUUGCUUCUUAAAGGUAGUAUUGUUUGGACUUUUUUUAUAUUGGAUGUGUGCAGACCUGUUGGAAGUAUGUUUUAUUAGGCGUAUAGUAUAUUUUUAGGGGCAGUGCAAGAUCGAAAUUAAAAUUGGUCUCUUAAAGUUCAAGACCAAAGAAAUUUGAAGUCAAAGAAGUUGGAUGAUAAAAAAUGGUAUCUCAUAGAUUUAUAAGUAACUUGUGUGGCCUUUUCUGCUUUCUUCGAUAUGAAGUACUUGCCUUUACACCGUAAAUGAACUAGUCGUGCACUUUUGCUGCCUCGGCUUUCUGUGUUGAUGCUCGUCCUUUUACAAGCAGAUGAAUUUGUUUAUAGUGAUUGCAGAACAGUGCUUGAUAAAGAGAUUUUAAGAGGUUUUGUUGGGUAUAUAUAGGCUGCCUGCAUGAGCUUUUAAGAAGCACCAUUAAUCUUUCAUAAUUCACUUUCAACCCAAAGAAUGAACAUUGCUGAAAGUGAUAGGAUUCUUGAAGCCAAGUAACUUGAUGUCAUGGAUGGUUGUGAUCAUUUGAAGGGGUCCAAGAACAAAUAGAAUUCAUAUAAGUUUUUACGUGACAAUGACAAUGACAA
Tripterygium wilfordii is the source of this 2674-nucleotide long non-coding RNA. RefSeq lists it as uncharacterized. The record is from RefSeq and is a predicted model, not a curated record. The transcript is spliced from 6 exons. Lineage: Eukaryota; Viridiplantae; Streptophyta; Magnoliopsida; Celastrales; Celastraceae.